RNAcentral lists this ribosomal RNA (433 nucleotides) under uncultured bacterium. Its description in RNAcentral is "partial 16S ribosomal RNA". It matches the Rfam family "Bacterial small subunit ribosomal RNA", at positions 29 to 507 of the family's 1533-position model. The record is from RNAcentral.
AACGAACGCUGGCGGCAUGCCUAACACAUGCAAGUCGAACGAGACCUUCGGGUUUAGUGGCGCACGGGUGCGUAACGCGUGGGAACUUGCACUUAGGUUCGGAAUACUUCACCGAAAGGGGUGCUAAUACCGGAUAAUGUCAUCGGACCAAAGAUUUAUCGCCUUUGGAUGGGCCCGCGUUGGAUUAGCUAGUUGGUAGGGUAAUAGCCUAUCAAGGCGACGAUCCAUAGCUGGUCUGAGAGGAGGAUCAGCCACGCUGGGACUGAGACACGGCCCAGACUCCUACGGGAGGGAGCAGAAGGGAGUAUUGGACAAUGGGCGAAAGCCUGAUCCAGCAAUGCCGCGUGAGUGAUGAAGGCCUUAGGAUUGUAAAGCUCUUUUACCCGAGGUGAUAAUGACGGUACCGGGAGAAUAAGCGCCGGCUAACUCCGUG